Molecule: ribosomal RNA, 468 nt
Filed under: uncultured bacterium
Lineage: Bacteria
Description: partial 16S ribosomal RNA
Rfam family: Bacterial small subunit ribosomal RNA
Source: RNAcentral
GACGAACGCUGGCGGCGUGCUUAACACAUGCAAGUCGAACGGAAAGGCCCUGCUUUUGUGGGGUGCUCGAGUGGCGAACGGGUGAGUAACACGUGAGUAACCUGCCCUUGACUUUGGGAUAACUUCAGGAAACUGGGGCUAAUACCGGAUAGGAGCUCCUGCUGCAUGGUGGGGGUUGGAAAGUUUCGGCGGUUGGGGAUGGACUCGCGGCUUAUCAGCUUGUUGGUGGGGUAGUGGCUUACCAAGGCUUUGACGGGUAGCCGGCCUGAGAGGGUGACCGGCCACAUUGGGACUGAGAUACGGCCCAGACUCCUACGGGAGGCAGCAGUGGGGAAUAUUGCACAAUGGGCGGAAGCCUGAUGCAGCAACGCCGCGUGCGGGAUGACGGCCUUCGGGUUGUAAACCGCUUUCGCCUGUGACGAAGCGUGAGGGACGGUAAUGGGUAAAGAAGCACCGGCUAACUACGUG